Long non-coding RNA from Mytilus trossulus (common blue mussel), 2494 nucleotides. RefSeq lists it as uncharacterized. NCBI's taxonomy places the organism in Eukaryota, Metazoa, Mollusca, Bivalvia, Mytilida, Mytilidae. The record is from RefSeq and is a predicted model, not a curated record. The transcript is spliced from 2 exons.
UUGAUCUCCCCUAUUACUUUCAAACGUUUAGUUGAUUAUGAUUGACAGAAAAUGUGUAUUAAAGUGCUGCUUUCAUGUUAUAGUGAUCGUAAUAGUGUUGAUUGACAGGUUAGACCUAGAUUUUGAACUUUAUUGCUAUUGUUUUGAGCAAUCGAUUGCUUGAGGUAUUGCGUGGCAAAACUGCGAAGUGUUAGGUAUUAUCAAUAGUUCAUAUUUCAGCGAUAUAAGAACAAUAUAUAUUGGGUUAUUGGACAUCAAUUUGUUUGACGACAAUUAAUGAGAGAAACGGUUAGAUUUAAACAUCAAACCUGAAAGUCUGUAAAGCAGUCAAUAUUUCAUGACGAUUUUUGACAUUUCAAUCACUUUGGAAAUAUUUAAAAGAUUACAUUUUAAAUUGGAUCUGUCUUUUAUGGAAAAUAAGAAUCCAAUAUUGAAUUUAUUAUCUUGCAUGCCGAGUAUUAUAUAAAUAUUAUAUUGAAUUACAAAAGCUAAAUUUAAUUCUGGAAAAUGUUACAAGUGGACGUGAGAGCUACGUGAAAUGGAGUAAUAGUAUGUCAAUGGAGUAAACGUCUAUGGAGUAAAAUGAGGUGCAUAGGAUUUGUAAAAUGGUUUGGAGUUUUAUUGCUCCUUGAUUCACUUGUGUACAAAGUGACUGCAUCUUGUCGAUGGUCAAAUGAGGGAUGUUACGAAGAUGAGGAUUGUUGUUCGGAGUCUUGUGAGCGAGCACACGAAGGUGCACACAAGAGAUGUUCCAAAAGUGAAAUCAAUCAACCAUGCUACGCAGAUUAUAUGUGUGAAGAUGGAUUACAGUGUGGCCGGAAGUAUAAAUGUUGUACGCCUUAUUGGGGAAUUUGUAACUCGAAUGAUGAAUGUUGCGGUUCGGAACACUUCUGUACUUUCCAUAAGGGAUUUACAUAUAAGCGGUGCCUUUUUCCUAGCAGUUUAGCACUUAAGUCCAGAAUAGACGCUAAACUGUUUUCAGUUGUUAUGUUAUUUUGGUUACUACAAUGUUUUAAUUACAGAACAUGGCUGAAUAUCAUGAUGUAAAAGACUUAUUUUCAAAUAUACAAAAAUGAAUAGAUAUGAAAUAAAUGCACCUGCUGUAUAAAUUAUAUAAAAAUCAAACACACCGAGUAUAAACAGAUUUAGAUGAUAAUUGACAAAACCUGUAUUUUAGACUUCGAUUUUUACCCCUGAAAAUAUAUUUAAAGUCAUUAAAUUCAAGUGCAGCAAAGAACCCUCCUUCUCACCAUUGUUUUAUAUCUAGGUUAAGGGAAAUAACUCUUAAAAUCUUUACUAUGUUUGUAACAGCCAAUUUCAUAAAUAUUAUCCAAGCUUCUCGGAUACAUAGACUAUUUCCAAUCUGUUUCAGGUAAAUGCUUAAAUUACAUUUACGAAACUUACCUAUUUCAAACGCGUAACUGACUUAUAAAGUUAUUUCCUGAUGUAAGGCCUAAAAUAUUAAGCAAGAUUAUAAACAUAUGCAACCAAUGCCUAUAAUGUAGGAUAUCACGUGACUAUUGUGAUGAAGGUGUAUUGCAAGAAGUAUCGUGCCUUGGUCAUCGUUAUAGAAGAAACGGUUGCUCCUUUAAUUUGCCUUCAGGAAAUAAAAAAAUCAACCGUAUCGUGUCCUUGUUGCUACAGCACAAGAACAAUCUACAAUGUAAUUGAAAUGUAGAACUCUGAUUUCAAACAAUUUUCCUAUACAUCCCUUAAAAGUAAGAAAUAUAUUGCCAAAAAAUGUUACCUUAAGAUCAAACCACUUUUCCUUUUUCAUAUAGGUUGUAAAUUUCAACCAUAUUAAGUUUAUUUUCUGUAUUUAUUAAAGUUCGCUUAUCUAGACAGAUUAUUUAAAGCUAUUUGCAUUUCUUUUCUUCAAUUUAUCAUAAAGAAAGAAAUGGAUAUCUCGAAUAAUGAUUUGUAAAUAAUUUUAUAAAAACAGUUGGAAAAUCUGUGCAAAAGUAACAAUAUACAAAAUUUGCAUUUAACGCUCAAAAGAUCAUAUGAUUAACUUUCAUUUACUAAAAUACCAUUCAGGCCAGUUUCUGUUCCAAUACAUGUACAAAAAUGUAUUUGAUCCCCCAUUUUUUUUGUAUAAUAGUAGCUCUUUCACUCCCAAGGAUAUAUCAAAUAAUGUUAUUUUCUAUGAAUCAAAAUUCAGCUGUGAACUUCUUUUUUUUUUCGUAAUUUGUAGUUUUUAUAAUCUAAUGCAUACUUUCAAAAGCGUUUGUGAUUGGUUAAAAUGAUGUAUAUUUAACCAAUGACGUGGCGUUAUUUUAACAGUGAAAUUGCCCACUAUUCUUAAAAUUAUGAAAAUGGUAAAUUUCAGUAUUUGUGUACUCAAUUUUAAAGUCCUGCCACUGUUCAUUUCCAAUUAGUACAAUUUAUUUCUUUAUUGUGACAAUCAAAAUGUUUGUGUUUGUAUAUUUUGUGCCUAUUUGCAUAUUGUUGUUACAUGAUGCAUAUAUAAUUGUUAUUAAAUUAUUUUAUUGCA